Molecule: ribosomal RNA, 397 nt
Filed under: uncultured bacterium
Lineage: Bacteria
Description: partial 16S ribosomal RNA
Rfam family: Bacterial small subunit ribosomal RNA
Source: RNAcentral
AUACGUAGGGUGCGAGCGUUGUCCGGAAUGAUUGGGCGUAAAGGGCGCGUAGGCGGCGCGGUAAGUCUGGAGUGAAAGUCCUGCUUUCAAGGUGGGAACUGCUUUGGAUACUGCCGCGCUUGAGUGCAGGAGAGGUUAUCGGAAUUCCCUGUGUAGCGGUGAAAUGCGUAGAGAUUGGGAGGAACACCAGUGGCGAAGGCGACUUACUUGACUGUAACUGACGCUGAGGCGCGAAAGUGUGGGGAGCAAACAGGAUUAGAUUCCCUGGUAGUCCACACUGUAAACGAUGAAUGCUAGGUGUAGGGGGUAUCGACCCCUUCUGUGCCGCAGUCAACACAAUAAGCAUUCCGCCUGGGGAGUACGGCCGCAAGGUUGAAACUCAAAUGAAUUGGCGGGG